Molecule: long non-coding RNA, 7950 nt
Filed under: Triticum aestivum (bread wheat)
Lineage: Eukaryota; Viridiplantae; Streptophyta; Magnoliopsida; Poales; Poaceae
Description: long non-coding RNA (TAES_LNC024447)
Source: RNAcentral
ACAAACCAGCUUUCUAUUAUUACACAAGUAUGAAUACAAGGUCUCCGAUAUUACAAUGAAUAACAUCGGUACGGCGACACUACGCCAUCCUCAGUUGCUCUAUGCAAGCAGCAGAACAACUCGAAGCAGCGGAAUAACUAUAGCAGCGGAACAACUACGACGGUGGUGAACUCCACUCCGCAGGGACUCUGGCUGGAACGCUUAUCCUAGAUCGUAAACAAGGACUCCACGGCAAACAAGCAAUCAAAUCCGGAAUGACCUGCUAACUGGCAUGACACGCCAGGUCAGUACAUUGAAUGUACUUGCAAGCUCACAAUAACCAGAAGCAUUCAAGACAAACAACAGCAUGUCAAUUACAGGUUAAGCAGGGAUUAUCAUGAGAUCAUCAGGCUAAUGUGGCAUGAACAACAUGAAGAUGAUACAGCUAGAACAAUAUGAGCCUGGCAUGAACAUAUAAAUCUGACGAUGCUAGCAUGCAAUAUGAUGACACUAUAUGCACCACUUAUUCUUCUCGGGUUACCUCGUAACCAUCACAUACAUCACUUACCAACCACGGACGUCACACGAUUAUCUCAGGAUCAAGUCAAGCUUGGUAUAAACAAUACCGUAGUAAUCAUUAAAUGACCACAAGGAGCUUGAUCUUUACCCACGAUUCUCGCACAACAUCAUGAAUAUACAACGACUCGGUAUCCUCGAUACCACCGUGAUCCUUACGGCGAUCACAACCCCGGGUUGUCAUUAAUCAAGUUAUUCUUAUUACUGUUGACUCAUGGUGUGACCUACUUUCGAACUGGGCCCUUAUCCGCGGGCGCGGCUAUCGAUAGAUCUAAUAUACACUCUGCAGAGGUUAGUACACUGUACCCAGACUACGGAACCCAUGGCCUCGCACUCCCAUUCGGGUGGACCAACGGUGUUCCCACAAAACCGAUCUACUGCCAUGACACUCUCCCGGCCACUCCGACUCACUCCCCUCUGGGCUAAGUCAUGGGUGGCCCCGUGUCUACCUCAAGACACAACGACCACCGUCGUGGCCCAAAACAAUAAACCGUCCCAAACGGGGACAUGUCCACAUAACAACAACAACGGGCACACAAGGCUUAUGUCCGCCUACCUGAUCAGGGUAGCACGCGCCCAUAACCUUCCCUCGUUGGAGGCACCGGCGAGAGGCACAACAAUAGACCCAGUUAGGACCGUCCCAUACCGGUAAGCGUGGUUGCACUGGUCAACAUCGAUUCAGCGGCACCAUGACUCAGCCAACAGUUGUUCAAGUUCAAUUUAAUCCAGUUAACUUGAAUGCAAAUAUGCCGAGCCAUGAUAAAAAUUCAUGAACAUGAUAUCAACAUAAUCAUGAGGGUAUCACAUAACUAUCCCCCAUAUCAACAAUAAAUCAUAUCCACUGAGCAUGGCAUACUGACUAGCAUGACCAUCACCAACAUCAACAUGUACUACUGGCAAGUAUAAACAUAUGAAAGGAAAUACUAGCAGGUAGAACAUGAUAACAGAGUACAAGACAACCUAUCACAAAAGUGAACAUGCAAAUCUAAACAUCAUCGGAACAACGAUAACCAUCUUUUCAACAAGCAAACAUUUAAUAAAGAUUCAAGUUGAAACCCAUGGCUACUGCAUGACUAUCAUGCAAGUGGGUAUUGUGGCUUGCCUAGGGUGGAAGAAAUCACCGGGAGAAAGUGCGAGAAGCUCGCGGAACGAAUCGCCGAAAAACGUUCUCUCUCGGAGAGGGAUGAAUAAGGGCAAGGGCAUAAUGGUCAUUUUCAUAGUGUCAAACCAUAGUGAAAGCAUGGCCAAUAGAACGGGCUCGAUGAAACGAAUAAGUAGGCUUUGGAUUCACCUCAUUUGGAGCUACGGUUAAAAAGUUAUGGAGGGUUGAAGUUCAGGGACUUUUCUGUAAAAAUUUCAUCACAAACAACCCUGAGUGGAUAAGGCAGAAACACAAAGUUAGAAAUACGCUUUUGGUCAGCGAAAACGUAAAACGGAAUUACGCUUUCACUUAUCUGACUUGGCAGCGGCUGGUCAACGCGUGUGGCUGCCAGGUGGGGUCGGGGCUGGGCGGGGCCCGUCACUUAUCCACGUCGGACUGGGAAGGGUCAACACCGUGUGGCUGACCAGUGGGGGCGAGGGAGUCGCGGGCCCCACCUGGCCUCAUCUUCUUCCUCCUCUCCCUGCGCCCGACAGGAACAAAGGAGACACGGGAGGGGCGACGCCGGCGACUGCCCCGGCGGCUCCGACAGUCCCCGGCUGCGCUGAGGCCACCGGUAAGACCAGCGAGGAGCGCCGCGUCGAUCUGGGCAGGCUGCGGGCGUCGAGGAAGGACGGGGUGGCGGCGCCUUGCGAAGGCAGAGAGCAUGCGGCGGCGGACAACUUCGGUGGCGCGCGGCCACACUGGCUCCGGCUACAAGACGAGAGGGUGGGGAGGAGCGCAGGGUCUCGGGGAGUCCUCUGGUGGCUACAGAAAGGAGGGGGAGGGCCGGCAUCGAUCCAAUUUGAGAGGAGACCCGAGGCGGCCAUGGCGGGGAUGGGAGGGAAGGAGAGCUCCUCGAGCUCAAACGAGAGGCUGGGGAGGCGUAGUGGAGUGAGGCAAAGGCGAUGGAGAGCUCGGAGGGGUUCGGGAGUGGCUUAAAUAGCCAGCGGGGGAGGGGGCCGAGCUGGCACCGCCGCGGACGCGUGCUCGCGCGCAUGAGCUCGGAGGCAGGCGACGAGGGAGGCACAGGGGAGAGCUCACGGGGUAGAAGAGGUCGAGGGACGCAGGGAGGAAGACGACGGCGACGAACCGAGCCAAACGCCACUGUACGCCCGUGGGCACACGGCGGUUUGCGUCGGUGAGCAAGCUGACGGAGGGGGAGAGGGGUCCAGGGGAACGGCGACGACGAGAGCUAUCUACUGGACAUCAUCACGAGCGCGAAGCCGACGAGAGGGGGAGGGGCCCGAGCAAGAAGCCAUUCUGGGCGCGGCCAUUGCAUGCCAAAGUGGUGGUCACCGCGCAGGCUGGCAUCCAGAGGAUCCAAAUGGCUGGCCAAUGUUGUCUAGUGGUCAGUCCUUCAAAGAUUGGUUUCAACUGUGGUGGUAGAUUGGUGAAAACGGCUACGGUCAAAUAGAAAUAACCCUCUGAAGUUUACCGUAGUAAACUUGGGUGAGCACUGGUGAUCAACAGGGAAAUUCUUGAAGCCAAAUAAGUUGUCUCGGGUGUUUAGGUAUGGAGGGACUAUGAUCCUGGAGAUUUUGAGGAGAAAUGGACCAAAAAUUAAUAUAGUUGCUUCACAAUUGCGUUUUUGGUCCAGAAAUGAAGAUCAUGAUGAUGCUCUCACAUAGAGUAUCAACUUGGGCUAAGAUUGGGCAAAGCUUGAUUAUUUGGACAUAUGAAGAUGCUGUAAAAAGCUCAUGCCAAAUGGACAAGCCAAAAUGGCACUUGCUUCACAAACAUCAUUUCUGUCCAGAAACUUGGAAGAAUUUUGGUGAUCAAAUGGCUCAUUGAAAUGAUGCAAAAUUGGGUGGAGAGAUGUUUUAUGGGCAUAAUAAUGAUCUGGUAAUUUAUCAGGAUUUUUGAAGCAAUACAAAAUGCGCUUUCUUCACAACCUGAAAAUAUUGCCAGAAUCAAAUAUUUGCUCCUGUGCUCACAUAGAUGAUUGGAUGGGUCUGCAAAUGGGUGGAGGGGGUUAAUAUGAGCACAUUAAGGAGGGUGCAAAAGUUCAUCUCAUUUGGAUACUCCUAGCUAGUACUUCCUUCACAAAGUCUUCUGUCUGACAAAAACUUUGAAAAUUCACUGAUGAAGAUUGGCUAGGCAAAUAAAGUUGAACUUGUGCAUGAGGCAAUUAUUUGGUCAUAUAAAAAUGACCAAAAAUGUGGGUAGCCACUAGGAAAAAUAUAAAUGACACUUCCUUCAGAAAGUGCCAUUUAGGGCAGAAUAGAAAAAAGGAAUAUUGGGGAAUUAUUUUUGAACAUGGCAAUGAAAAGUUUUUCCAUAUUUGAUCAAGGUAUGACCCAAACAAUUUAUUAGAAUUAUUUGGGAAUUUUUGGAGUGAGGGAAAUAUAGGUUGCUUCACAACCUAAGGCAAUUUGAGUUAUUCCUUUAAUAGAAAAGGAAUAUUCCCAAUAAAAAGAAUAUUGGGAUUUGGUCUAGGAUGAAAAUGACAGGGUCGAGGGAAGGAUUUGGGAAUGACAAGCCACUAUGGAAGCAAAGAAGAGGGCAUCUUCUUCAGUUUCCAGACCACAAAGCCACGGAAAAAGAAAACUUAGGCAAAAACAUCGGAAAAACAAAAGAAAAAGAACGGGCCAAAAAUCAGGCUGUCACAAACCUUACCCCCUUAAAGAAAUCUCGUCCUCGAGAUUUGGUUGCUCAGGGAACAAGUAUGAAUAUUAUGACUUGAGGAAACCGUUUCCAACUCGGGUAUCCUUUUUCCUUUAUUGUUGUUCCCACUAAAUUUUUAUUUGACUGGCCCUGGGUGGUUUGCUUUACUGUAUCCACAUUCUUGACAGAUCUUACCUGGCUUGCUCAUGCUUAUAUAGGCUCCAAUUUCUUUUUAGAUCUGCUGACUAGCUGACUGUGAUUAAUUUUCACAACUGAAAUAUAUGUCUGUCUCACAAGUCCAGGAGUGAUUUCCGUUGGGUGUGCCACCCGGCACUGACAACCUUUCAUGUAAUGAUGAUCAGAUUUUUCUGAUGAAAACUCAUGCUCUGACUCAUUUCAUUGGGUUUCUCCUUUAAAUGCAGGUCCCUUGGGUUCCAAAUAGUGAGUUAAAACAUAACCGUUUCCUGACAGAUUCAGACUCAUCGCAGAAGUUUCUGAAUCAUCUUAACCGGUUCCACUGUCAUCAGUAUCGGAUCCGUACCAAAUAUUUGAUUGUCUCCUAUCGCGGCCAGCAUAUAGGGUUUGGCCUGUAUUUUAAUAUCUGCAGACUUGACUGACGGUGGUUCUGACGGAAAAAUUUUGUUCACGACGGGCUAUCCAUGAUGAUUCAUAUAAGUGAGGACUCAGGCUUCCAGACUGUUAUUCCUCAUGCCGAUUACUCAUGCUGUAGGCAUAUCCCUGUGGAUCCAUACUGACGUAGACUGUCCGGGGGAUCUGCACCAUGGGGGUCGUGUACAAUUUUCAUACCUGCCUCACUGGUCUCGCUCCUUCAUUAUUGUUUUCUUGGUCAGGAUCCUUGGCUGAAAGAGCUGGGCCAUAUUGUUUCUUUGUAUGACCACAGGUACUGUCGGUGCAAUUUUUCAGCAAUCGUAGCUUAUCCUCGUUUUUCUGACACGGUAACCUAUUAAAUGGCAGGUUCAACACCUCUCAAGUUCUGAUUGUUGGGAAAUGAUCAUCCGAAACCCUUGCAAGAAAUCGGCAAAUAAAUCAGUAGCCACCAGAACGGUCUUUACAACUCAGAUCUGGGACAUUACUGGAAUAACUCAACCACGGCUCAAGACGGCCGAAAAGCAGCUCAGAGCAUGAGACCGGGUCAAUAAGGAGAAGGUGGCAGCUCCCUAAAAUAGCCAAAAAGCAGCUAUAGGGCUACUGUCACAAAAAGAAACUCAACAGUUGUACGAGACGGCCAAAAAGCAGCUCAGACUCGUGACAGUUGUUGAAGAGAGAAACAAAAAUCGGCAUCCACCCCGGAUAGCUAGAAACAGCUCAGAUCACAGGCGUGGUGCCGUCAUUGGAGAAAAAGGGGACAAGGGCUCAUCAGGAUCAUUUUCCAGGUUCACGGGUACUUGUAUUGAGCCCAUUGAGGUCGUUAAUCCUCAUGAUCCUUUGUCACACUUCGAUGUAUACUGGCUUUCUUCUCUUAAUCAUCCUCACGUGGUUAUCAGAUCCUCAUCCAAGUGACUUGUAAGAUCUUGAUGGUAUGCUCAUUGCAUAUAUAUGAGGACCUGAUUCCGAGACAGACGUGUAUUCUGACUGAUUCUUGAUUCUGACCAAAAGGUUGCGGAUCUGAUUCUUGGGAUUCACUGCCAUAUGUUGUCAAUUCACAGCGUACUACCUUGUACCAAUGUCUUACUGAGGAAUAUUUGCUGGCUUGUGCUCGAAACUUUCAUCGGACAGCUCGCUGAAGAAGACUGGGUAUCAUGCUUCAGAAGCUUACCCCCUUAAAGACUUUGCUAGGGAAAGACUCAGUACCUUAUGCUGGAAGCUUUUGCGGUUGCUUACCGAAGAAGGCAGAGUACCUUGCGCGAGAAGUCAUCCAUGUAUCGUACUGAGGAAGAUAGAUGAAUCUUGCCUUCGAAGCUUCUCUGGUAUCUUGCGAGGGAAAAGUGGGUUGCUUACACCAGAAACUUCUUAUUGUGAUAUGCGGACCGAUUUCCACAUAUACAUGCCAUCUUAAUAUUUCUGAUGUUGAUUUCUUGUAUGAAAUAGGGUUUUACUGGACUAUCCUCCUUUCUGAGUAUAUGCCAUAUUUUUUCUUGCUUCCAGGUACAUCGAGUUCCAAAAUCAUCCUCAACGAAAAAUUAAACAUGUAUCUGAGCCAUACCUUUGAUAAUAUUCUGUCAACCUUGCACACAAUUUCUCUUCUUGUUGAUUUAAUCAUUUUGUUGUGAUGAGUGCAUGCUAAUGCAAACUUGAUACUGACGGUCCACCCAAGAUUUCUUUUGCAUUUAGACGAGAUAUUCCAAUUUUCAUUGCAGUCUGCUGAUAAUUCCAUUUUGUUUAGCUGAAUUUCCAAAUAUAUGCAUUUCUUGCUGACUCUUCGGGUCCGGUGUCGGCUGACGAGCAACUUUAAUAGGGGAAAACUUUGUAACACUAAAGGCCCAAAGAAAGGAACAACAGAAACGACUAAAACAAAAGCACACAAGCAUACUACUAAGAUAAUUAAUCAAGCAAUCAUCACAUAUUACUGCUACUCACAAAAUAAUAUGCAUGCACACCUAAGCACACAAAUCUCGCGGAAACUCCGGUAUUGCGGUCUAAUAUGUUGUGGCGGCAUGCACGGAAAUUAUAUCCAUGUGUGGAAGGCGUUGGCGUAACUGAAGCUACACCAAGCACUGGCUGAACAGUGGCUGGAUCUGGAUGGAUACACAGGUGAGGACGGACUUAACGAUCAAGUAGCGAGACACAAAAGUCACGACUACCUCAUCAUCAAGCGUACGAAGGGAAUCAUACCCGUCCAAAGAAUGAAAUGACAAGGCAAGAUAACAGUGGAAGACUGGGUCUAAUGCCAUUGCCCUUUUCUGAUAACAAAGGUCAGCAAGGGUUGCCAAAAGAACGAGAUGGAGGGCAUGGAUGAUGAUGUGGUCUCAUCACACCGAAGAGCAAGCAUGAUAAGAAGGAGGGCGUAGGUAGUGGAUCGGAACCGAUACCACCUACACUCACAAGAUUAACCAUUAGCGAUUAAAUAAUAAUCUAUAUGCAUGCUAUGCGACAAACAAAUGCAGCAAUCAAGUGCAACAAACAAACUGGGGUCUAUACUACCACUUUCUAACGUUCGCGCGGUCUAGGGCGUCCUACAGCCAAACCUGCUCUGAUACCAAGCGCUGUGGCACCCCGGCUCAGAGAAACCGGAACGCCCCGUAUUCCAGCCCAGAGAUCGAGGAGAAGUCUUCUGGAAUACGGCACUGCUUAGCAUAGAACAAACCAGCUUUCUAUUAUUACACGAAUAUGAAUACAAGGUCUCCGAUAUUACAAUGAAUAACAUCGGUACGGCGACACUACGCAAUCCUCAGUUGCUCUAUGCAAGCAGCAGAACAACUCGAAGCAGCGGAAUAACUCUAGCAGCGGAACAACGACGACGGUGGUGAACUCCACUCCGCAGGGACUCUGGCUGGAACGCUUAUCCUAGCUCGCAAACAAGGACUCCACGGCAAACAAGCAAUCAAAUCCGGAAUGACCUGCUAACUGGCAUGACACGCCAGGUCAGUACAUUGAAUGUACUUGCAAGCUCACAAUAACCAGAAGCAUUCAAGACAAACAACAGCAUGUCAAUUACAGGUUAAGCAGGGAUUAUCAUGAGAUCAUCAGGC